CAAUAGCGUAUAUUAAAGCUGUUGCGGUUAAAAAGCUCGUAGUUGGAUUUCUGUCAAGGACAACUGGUCCGCCCUCCGGGUGAGCACAUAGUUUGGUCUUGGCAUCUUGCUGGAAACUGUUGCUGCGCUUGGUUGUGUGGUGCAGCUUUCAGCACUUUCACUUUGAGGAAAUUGGAGUGUUUCAAGCAGGCACAUGCCUUUGGACACAGUAGCAUGGAAUAAUUAGAUUGGGCUUUUGCUCCAACUUGUUGGUUCCUGGAGCUGAGGUGAGAAUCAAUGGGGAUUGUUGGGGGCAUCCGAAUUUAGCCGUCAGAGGUGAAAUUCUUGGAUCUGCUAAAGACGGACAACUGCGAAAGCGUUUGCCCAGGAUGUUUCCAUUGA
RNAcentral lists this ribosomal RNA (381 nucleotides) under uncultured eukaryote. RNAcentral describes it as "partial 18S ribosomal RNA". It matches the Rfam family "Eukaryotic small subunit ribosomal RNA", at positions 592 to 976 of the family's 1831-position model. The record is from RNAcentral.